This 2675-nucleotide ribosomal RNA is filed under the name Triticum aestivum (bread wheat). RNAcentral's name for it is "partial small subunit ribosomal RNA". The record is from RNAcentral. Lineage: Eukaryota; Viridiplantae; Streptophyta; Magnoliopsida; Poales; Poaceae.
CACCCACCCUCCGUGCCCACAACGGGAGAAAAGCCAAGACUGAUUGAUGCCGAAGGAGCUGGAGAAAGGCGGCUGGUGGGUGGGUAGGUGGGUGGUGGUCGAACAUCCAUCCCCGUGGCCGGCCGUUCCCCAUCUCCUUCCCAAAUCGAUGGUCAAACCUCCUCCGCCUCCUCCUCCUUCCUGAUCCCCGACCACCGUCCCCACCCAUGUCCCGCCGUCUCUCCCUCCUCCUCGUCUUCUCCAUCCUCUUCCCCGCCACGCUCCUCGCCCAACCCCCAACGCCGCCGCAGCAGUGCCCGCUGAACUUCACCGCCCUGCGCCCCUUCCUCGCCCCGCCGCUCCCCUCCGACGACGCCUCCCGCUGCGCCUUCGCGCUCCAGUCCGUCCGGCUCCUCCUCUCCCUCCACCUCGCCGCCACCGGGUCCUUCCUCAUCCCCUCCUCCUCCUCCUGCCUCCCGCCGCUCCGCGACGCGCUCCCCUUUCCGCUCCCUCCGCCCGAUGCCUGCGGCCUCGCGGGCAUCGACGCGCUCCUCUCCGCUCCUGGAUGCGCCAACAUCUCCACGCGAGCGGAUUUCGAUGCCCGAGUGCCUGCCUCCGCCCGCAGGGACAUCAACGCCAGCUGCUACCGCGAGCUCGGCGCCGUUCCGGUCUGCACCACCUGCACGACCUCGCUCAGCAAGACGGCCGCAGCCUACCUCCUACCUGGAUCCCCCGACGGCGGAAACAAUGUCACCGGCUGCGUCCAGUACCCCUUCAUAUACACCGGCGCCGCGGCCAGCCUACGCGGCCCCGACGACCCGGACACAGCGGACUGCCUGUACCUCCUUAAGGCCAACUCUCAACCCUCCAAAGGGUCCGGCGCCCCUGCCUGGCUCUACGGCGUCGUCUUCGGAUGUGUCGCCUUUGUACUGCUAGUUGCUGCCGCUGCUGGUUCGUGCUUCUUCGUGUGGCGACGCCGGAGGCGGGCUGCCGCUACCGCACUAGCCGCUGACAGCAGGAGCAAGCGCUCGCAUGCAAUGGAGUCCAUCACCGCCAGCACCACCCUGCUCAAGUUCACCUACGACGACAUCAAGAUGGCCACGGGGAGCUUCGCUAGAGACAGCAUCAUCGGCCGCGGUGGUUUCGGGAAUGUGUACAAGGGGGUGCUCCCCGAUGGCGCAGAGGUGGCAGUGAAGCGUUUCAAGAACUGCUCGGCGGCCGGGGAUGCGGCGUUCGCACAUGAGGUGGAGGUGGUGGCCAGCGUGCGCCAUGUCAACCUGGUCGCGCUCCGUGGGUACUGUAUCGCCGCCACGCAGAGAGAGGGGCACCAGCGGAUGAUUGUGUGCGACCUCAUGCAUAAUGGCAGCCUCCACGACCACCUCUUCGGCGCCGGGGAGUGCCUGAUGGCGUGGCCAGUGAGGCAGAGGAUUGCCAUUGGAAUGGCACGGGGGCUGUCCUACCUGCACCGUGGCACACAGCCAGCCAUCAUUCACAGGGAUAUCAAGGCAAGCAACAUUUUGCUUGAUGACGAUUUUGAGGCGAAGGUGGCCGAUUUUGGAUUGGCCAAGUUUGCGCCAGAAGGGAUGACACAUGUGAGCACACGGGUUGCUGGCACAAUGGGCUAUGUCGCUCCAGAGUAUGCCCUCUAUGGCCAGUUAACUGAGAAGAGUGAUGUCUACAGCUUCGGAGUUGUGCUUCUUGAGCUUAUGAGUGGGAAGAGAGCAUUCAUGUCUCUCAGUGAGGGAGAGAGCUUCGUGCUUGCUGAUUGGGCUUGGUCAUUGGUGCGGAGGGGAAAGACGCUGGAUGUGAUCCAGGAAGGAAUGGCUGAACCUGGUCCUACUAAGGUCAUGGAGAAGUAUGUGCUUGUCGCAGCACUCUGCACACAUCCGCAGCUGCAUGCCAGGCCAACGAUGGAGCAAGUGGUGAAGAUACUAGAAGCAGAUUCAGCACCAGGGCCUUUAAUCAUUCCGGACAGGCCUCUCCCUGUUGUUGCAAACCUGGCCGAUAUUGAGAGGUCAGUGAGCAGCAGCACCGGCUCAGGUCAGCUGUUCAGUCCCUCUGGCUUCCGGUCUUUUAUUCAUAGAGACGAGGAUGCUACACCGGAAUCUCCAAAGGAAACAUAACAUUUUGUUUCACAGUUGCAAUUUAAUGUCUAUCAUCUUUGUUUUGUUAGCUUGAUUUUAUUUCUUGGAUUACACAUUGCAGGCAGCUAUUGUAGAUGAUAACAUGUAUUUUUGCUCUCACAGGAAAUAUAUGAUUCCGCGUGACAGGUCAAUUCGUUUAAACAUACAUAAUGCUGUUUAUCUUUGCUACAUAUGCAGCUUAGUAAUUGAUGGAAGCUUUUUUUUUUUUGAGAUUUUGGAGAUGAUAUAUUGAAAGCUUAGUGAUCCUUUGUCCUGUGAUAUACUCCCUCGGUCCCAAAAUAAGUGUCUUACUUUGUAGUUUGUACUAACCACUUAUUUUGGGACGGAGGGAGUAUAUUACACUUGUUACUUGAAGAAGCUAUUUGUGCUCUGCGGUUCAAAGGUACCUUAUAGUUCCCUAUUAGGACGAUCAUUCAGUUGGAAGAACAAGGUGAUGUUCCACUGAUUCGAUUAGCUUAUAUGAUAUUGUAUUCUAAAGAGAAGUCUGUACUUCUCUGUAGCAUAAGAGAAAGAUGAUGGUAGAAUGGAGGAUUUGGCUAAAGAGAGAGUUGC